GAUGAACGCUAGCUACAGGCUUAACACAUGCAAGUCGAGGGGAAACGAUAGAGAAAGCUUGCUUUUUCUAGGCGUCGACCGGCGCACGGGUGAGUAACGCGUAUCCAACCUGCCCAUCACUUGGGGAUAACCUUGCGAAAGUAAGACUAAUACCCAAUGACGUCUCUAGAAGACAUCUGAAAGAGAUUAAAGAUUUAUCGGUGAUGGAUGGGGAUGCGUCUGAUUAGCUUGUUGGCGGGGUAACGGCCCACCAAGGCGACGAUCAGUAGGGGUUCUGAGAGGAAGGUCCCCCACAUUGGAACUGAGACACGGUCCAAACUCCUACGGGAGGCAGCAGUGAGGAAUAUUGGUCAAUGGGCGGAAGCCUGAACCAGCCAUGCCGCGUGAAGGACUAAGGCCCUACGGGUCGUAAACUUCUUUAGACGCAGAGCAAUAAGGUCCACGCGUGGACCGAUGAGAGUAUGCGUAGAAUAAGCAUCGGCUAACUCCGUGCCAGCAGCCG
RNAcentral lists this ribosomal RNA (502 nucleotides) under uncultured bacterium. RNAcentral's name for it is "bacterial SSU rRNA". It matches the Rfam family "Bacterial small subunit ribosomal RNA", at positions 28 to 517 of the family's 1533-position model. The record is from RNAcentral.